AUACGGAGGGUGCAAGCGUUACUCGGAAUCACUGGGCGUAAAGCGCGCGCAGGCGGGCUGAUAAGUUGGAUGUGAAAGCCUACGGCUCAACCGUAGAACUGCAUCCAAAACUGUCAGUCUAGGGUCUGGGAGGGGAAGAUGGAAUUAGUUGUGUAGGGGUAAAAUCCGUAGAGAUAACUAGGAAUACCAAAAGCGAAGGCGAUCUUCUGGAACAGUACUGACGCUGAGGCGCGAAAGCGUGGGGAGCAAACAGGAUUAGAAACCCUUGUAGUCC
RNAcentral lists this ribosomal RNA (274 nucleotides) under uncultured bacterium. RNAcentral describes it as "partial 16S ribosomal RNA". It matches the Rfam family "Bacterial small subunit ribosomal RNA", at positions 523 to 796 of the family's 1533-position model. The record is from RNAcentral.